RNAcentral lists this transfer RNA (72 nucleotides) under Schistocephalus solidus. It matches the Rfam family "tRNA". Rfam says of the family: Transfer RNA (tRNA) molecules are approximately 80 nucleotides in length. Their secondary structure includes four short double-helical elements and three loops (D, anti-codon, and T loops). Further hydrogen bonds mediate the characteristic L-shaped molecular structure. tRNAs have two regions of fundamental functional importance: the anti-codon, which is responsible for specific mRNA codon recognition, and the 3' end, to which the tRNAs corresponding amino acid is attached (by aminoacyl-tRNA synthetases). tRNAs cope with the degeneracy of the genetic code in two manners: having more than one tRNA (with a specific anti-codon) for a particular amino acid; and 'wobble' base-pairing, i.e. permitting non-standard base-pairing at the 3rd anti-codon position. Lineage: Eukaryota; Metazoa; Platyhelminthes; Cestoda; Diphyllobothriidea; Diphyllobothriidae. The record is from Rfam by way of RNAcentral.
GAGCAUUUUGCUCAAUAGAUAGAGCGUUGGACUUCUAUCCAUCAGAUCGGGGGUUCGAUCCUCAAGUGUUCU